Molecule: ribosomal RNA, 402 nt
Filed under: uncultured Blastocatella sp.
Lineage: Bacteria; Pseudomonadati; Acidobacteriota; Blastocatellia; Blastocatellales; Blastocatellaceae
Description: bacterial SSU rRNA
Rfam family: Bacterial small subunit ribosomal RNA
Source: RNAcentral
UCGGGAAUUUUGGGCAAUGGGCGAAAGCCUGACCCAGCAACGCCGCGUGAAGGAUGAAGUCUUUCGGGAUGUAAACUUCGUAAGAAUAGGAAGAAUAAAUGACGGUACUAUUUGUAAGGUCCGGCUAACUACGUGCCAGCAGCCGCGGUAAUACGUAGGGACCAAGCGUUGUUCGGAUUUACUGGGCGUAAAGGGCGCGUAGGCGGCAAUUCAAGUCAGUUGUGAAAUCUCCGAGCUUAACUCGGAACGGUCAACUGAUACUGUUUUGCUAGAGUACAGAAGGGGCAAUCGGAAUUCUUGGUGUAGCGGUGAAAUGCGUAGAUAUCAAGAGGAACACCUGAGGUGAAGACGGGUUGCUGGGCUGAUACUGACGCUGAGGCGCGAAAGCUAGGGUAGCAAACG